UACUGUCUACGAGAACGUCCAGGUCGGUCCCCUGGGCUUGUUGAUGGCUAUAGACUUCCCUAGAAAAAGAGGACCAAAAGCAAAACUCCUUAGAAUUGCUCAAGACUAGAGUUUUACGUGGUUUCCAAGUACUUGCCUCGAUGAAAUGUAACAAUGGAGAUGACUUGCCUUUCCAUUCUCUUUUCUGGUCGGCUGUGUGAGGGUUCGUUAGAAUAAAAAACCCUACCAGUGGUCACUGGUACUAAUAAUCAGUUAUUAGGCGCCUGUUUGUCGUAUGGUCGUGUAUGGUUGUAUAGCCGAGGUACUGUCCUACAAAAAGCUCAGCUAGACAAUAAAUGUCUACGUGAAAGUACUGUCUGAAUAGAUUUGGAAUAGUUUUUGGUGGAGGCGCCGAUGGUGAAAAGUGUUAAUGUAUAUGAUGUCUAAAGUAGAUACGAUGAUAACAAUAAUUUAAGGGCAUAAGCUUUGUCCCAACGACAGAAAGUUAAACCAAAUUUGGUAAUUUUUAAUGUAAGUAAUUUUUAAUUUUGCGCCGACUACGAAAAGAUUAUUUAACAUAAUUUAAUAUAAAGGAAACACCCCAUUCAAGGAAAUCCAACAUUUUUGGGACACUCUAUAUAGUUGCAAAUGAGAUUAUCAGGAAUGCUGGAAGGUUAUAGCAAUAUGGAAUUAGAUAAUCGGAAUCGGAAUCGGAAUUAAUUAAUGAACCAAGAAAAAAAAAUAAGAAUUUUGCAAUAACAGUAGUUAUAAACAAUAAGAAAAAAAUAGGAAUUUUGCAAUAACAAUAGUUAUAAACAAUACGAAAAAAAUAGGAAUUUUGCAAUAACAAUAGUUAUAAACAAUAUGAAAAUAACAAUAGUUAUAAAGAAUAAGAAAAAAAUAGGAAUUUUACAAUAACAAUAGUUAUAAACAAAAAGACAAAUUUUUGCAAAGUGAUCAGCUCGGAAACGAGUCCGGCAGCAAAAUGUAGAGGGUUUCAUCGAUGUCAUCGAAUUCAGGCCGAACAUACGUGAAAUAGUACAAUUUUCGAUAAAAAGUGCAAUAAAGUGGUAAAAAAUGGAAGUAGGUCAAAUGUCUUUUUAAGCGUUUAAGAGGCAACGAAGCCCUACCAGAUGCGAGAAGAUUCAAUCCGAUUGGUCAAUUCGUUUCGGAAUAAGAAGCAAUACAAAAGUUUUCAGUUUUUUGCAACAAAAAAAAACGGGCAUAAUGUGAGAAAUUCCAAAAUUUUUGGACAAUGGAACCACCCCCGAGACAUGCUCUACAAGAUGCAAGAAGUUUCAUCCCGAUUGGUUAAGUCGUCUGGACGUAAUCGAGUAACAUAACAAAAAAAAAAAAAUAUACAUAUAUAUAUGUCGAAUUGAGUAACCUCCUCCUUUUCAAAGUCGGUUAAUAAAUAUUAGGCUAACUGAAAAAGUAAACGAGUAGCACAACUGGAAAAAUGCAUCGCAAAAUGCUUCUUGAAGUCAGCCCAAAAUUUGGAAGACGUGUUUAAUUAAAGUUACAUUGUUCGACAAUAAAGUAUCUCGAAUGAUGAAUUUGCUUCUACAUAGUUGAAAAUCUCGUAUUCUUGCCUAUAAAGAUCCAUUGGUUAAAUGUUUUGUCUCGAUUAUUUUACCAAUUUGAGUAACAAUUGUGUUAUUUGAAUCGAAUAACAUUCAUGAUCUAUAAAGUUAACACUAACAAAGAGAGUUCGACAAUUGUCACACGCUGAAAAAUUUGAAUUUUUGCAGAAAUAAAGUUCAUGGGAAUCUAAUCACUGUGCCCUUUUCCAUAAACGUAAACCAGCUCUCUCAAACAAAAAUAUUAAGCUACGAAAACAGUUUGUUGACACCUAUAAAGAAUGGACAACCGAAGAUUGGAAAAGAGUUAUUAUUGAAAAAGUGAUUAGAAUAAUAUAGAAAAUGGGAGAUCAGUUUGAAUCCUUUAAGGUUUCAAAAGUACAUAGAACGCAUUGCUGGAAGUCUCAGUGGAAGAAAUUUAUUAAAGAUAAAGUGAGAAAUGAAUAAAGAGAUCCACUAUUUCUAACGCACAAUUUAUUGUAUUAGAAUACAGUUCAUACAUACACAGAACGCAUGGCAGAAAGUCUUGUUGUAACAAAUUUAAAUGUUUAUGAUGAAGUGAAAAUAAAAAAAGUGGUCCACUAUUUAUAACACACAAUUUAUUGUAUUAGAACACUUAUUCUCUUUGCACAAUGUUUCUUAUUUGCACAAAAUGAACAUUUACUGUAAUUUGUAUUACGAACUGCACACUCAAACACCAUAUAUUUCUUUCCACAACGACAAGAUGUCACUUCAAUAAUAUAUUUGGCUGAGCGGUUCGACGAUAACCAGGAAGCAACGAUGAUUGAAGUUGCGUAACCUUUUCUGGGAGACCCUAAUACUACUAUACAGAUCGUAUACAGAUCGAUCGGAAAUGUUCAAUCGUAAAGCGGCAAGAAAAGGACCAACUAAAAGGACCAACGUAUCAUAUUCCCCAUCAACUCGGUACGAAUAACUCAUAAAACCUGUAUCGAAACAUUUGACUUCCCGAUGCCAAUGAACCUCAAACACCACGUGAAUAAUCCUUUUUAUCACAGAACUCUGUCGCCCGUUGAACUGGAGCUCUUCUUGGUAGUAAUUCGGAGAGCGUAGAAGGAAACAAUUAAUCUUGUCAUUUGCGUUCACGCAUUUGAAUAUCCAUCGUGUCUAACAUUCUGUCGACGAGUCCCGUCUUCCUUCCACCGAUUCGUCUCAUCUUUUCUCAGUGGCGUGUUACAACCUCGCGAGUCCAACAAACAAAAUGUAUCUUGAGGUUCCAUUCGAAGAAAAAAGAAACAGAGAACGAAUGAAAUUGAAUUAAAUUUCAUUUUAUGGAAACAACAUAAUAAAAUAUGUUGCACAACCACAAGGGGGUUCUGCCCCCUUUGCGAAAGAAUUAGAAUAAAUAAUUGUAACCCUUUGCGCUCGAGACAUUUUUCUACAGAAUCAAAUCCAGUUUUAUAAUAAAUUUCUGUGAAACAAAAAACAUCUACGAACAUUCAUGACUCGAUGUAUUAUUUCAAUUAAUAAUCAGCUGUAUUCUGAUAUUAGUAAAAUUGAAAUUGUACGUUCAAAAAGUUACUUUUAAGAGAACUCCCCCCUUGAGAGAUAUGCAGACACAAGUUCGAGAAACGCUGCGUUAAUGGUCCCCGGAGUUUUUUCUUUUCAAAGUUCGAAAGGCCUCUCCGAAGUUUUCGUUUUAGUUUUCUCUAUUUUUGUCGUUUUUUUUCCAACGUGUAAACAGGUCGAUAAAUCGAGCGUUCGCAAGUUCAAGGCUAAUCAUCGCCGUUCCCUAAAGUGUCUUAUUUUUAGGACUCUCCAGGUUUCUGGACAUACCUGGCACCAUCAACUCCCGAAUUCUUCAACGAGACGAGUUCUAACUCUGACCUCCCUCAUUCUCCUUUUUAUACUUAUUUUCUGCCUAAGACUGGAAAUUUAGCGAGGGCCUUUCGAGGACCGAAUCGAGUUUGUUUGAAACGGACAAGGUUGACUUGGCUACGAGACUGUUUGAAAGAAUGUUGUUAUUUGAAAUAGUUUAUUUCACUUUGAAAAUUUUAGAGAAACAAAUGGUUAAUCCAUAGAAACAAAAAUAAGAAACAGACCUGGAAAUGUUAUGAUUUAAAUUUUAUAAAAACUUAUGUGCCUUGCCAUAGGCUUUACAAUUAACUGUUUCAUUUUCUUAUUACAAAUUGUUUUGAAAAUUACACAUGACAAAUGAAAUUCAAUGAAAAAACAA
Long non-coding RNA from Hylaeus volcanicus, 3753 nucleotides. RefSeq lists it as uncharacterized. The transcript is spliced from 4 exons. The record is from RefSeq and is a predicted model, not a curated record. NCBI's taxonomy places the organism in Eukaryota, Metazoa, Arthropoda, Insecta, Hymenoptera, Colletidae.